AAUUAGCCUGUGGGACCUGAGUCAGUUAAACUAUCGACUUUAGAAGGGAUCUUGGCAUGAGUGAUGGUGCCAAUAACCACAGAGAGAUGGCCUGAUUUUCCAGAAGAGAGGAUCCUAUUGCAAAACGGUCACUGGCAUCACCACAAAGAAAUGUUUUUGAAAAUAAGGAUGUUGCAAUGGCAAAUGAUGCCCUCCAAACUGUAGUCAAGGAAAGCGGAAUGAAAGAAUCUGCUGUCUCAGAGUUACAGAAAAGGUUAGAAAUUUCCGUCUCACUUUCUAGCCCCGAGACUUAAAUCAUAGACGAAUUGGAAGACAGAGAAUUUCUUGAACUAGCAUCACGAUUGAUUGGAGAAAAUGCUGUUGGCAAUGAGCAGAUUUCACAUAGUCAGGUCAGUUUUGUAUAUUGUAUAAUGUUCCUGCCUCUUCUACAACUAAUUGCGCCCUAUAUGGUGAUAUAAAGGCAGCUGAGGCAGUUCGUGACCAUUGGAGAAAAUCCACUCCACAAUCAAUACAACUGAAGGAGCUCAGCCCUCUACUUCGUGACUACGAAUGCUUGAUUGCACGCCAUCAUAUGGAGCACUCGAACAUUGUUCUUGUCCACUACCGCGAAGUAAAGGUUGCAUUUUUUUUCCCAAGAAAUUAGUAGGUGGAGUUGUAUAUCUAAAGUCAUAUUUUGGAAAUUAGUGAAUCAUAAUUUGAAUACUUUUCUUGAUUUGUAUGUUUGUAAGGUUGUUAUUAGCUUUGAUAUGAUAGAAAUUGAGGAUAGAAGCUAGUAUGCAGGUUAUUUGGUGGAUGGAUGUUAGUUUUUUUUUCUUAAUUCAUAGUUGUUGUUUCUGCUUGGUUUGUUCACAAGUUGCCGCACUUUAUAAGGUAUUGUCUUUGUUUGGUUGGAGGUGCAUACUGCUUUGUUUGGAGGAACAUACGGUUAGGCAAGGUUAUGUUCUUGUGUGUGUGUGUAUAUAUAAAAAAUAACUUUCUACGACAUUCAAAAUUAUGCCGUGAAAAGUGUAAUGAUUUAUGGCAUGUAAGAAAAUGUCCUAAAAGAUUAUAUACGACAUACAAAGUAUGUCAUAAAUAUAUUAAAAAUAAUUUUUUACGACAUGCAAAAUUAUGUCAUGAAAAGUGUAAU
Camellia sinensis is the source of this 1129-nucleotide non-coding RNA. The record is from RefSeq and is a predicted model, not a curated record. Lineage: Eukaryota; Viridiplantae; Streptophyta; Magnoliopsida; Ericales; Theaceae.